This 488-nucleotide ribosomal RNA is filed under the name uncultured Propionibacterium sp. Its description in RNAcentral is "bacterial SSU rRNA". It matches the Rfam family "Bacterial small subunit ribosomal RNA", at positions 8 to 507 of the family's 1533-position model. Lineage: Bacteria; Bacillati; Actinomycetota; Actinomycetes; Propionibacteriales; Propionibacteriaceae. The record is from RNAcentral.
AGAGUUUGAUCCUGGCUCAGGACGAACGCUGGCGGCGUGCUUAACACAUGCAAGUCGAACGGAAAGGCCCUGCUUUUGUGGGGUGCUCGAGUGGCGAACGGGUGAGUAACACGUGAGUAACCUGCCCUUGACUUUGGGAUAACUUCAGGAAACUGGGGCUAAUACCGGAUAGGAGCUCCUGCUGCAUGGUGGGGGUUGGAAAGUUUCGGCGGUUGGGGAUGGACUCGCGGCUUAUCAGCUUGUUGGUGGGGUAGUGGCUUACCAAGGCUUUGACGGGUAGCCGGCCUGAGAGGGUGACCGGCCACAUUGGGACUGAGAUACGGCCCAGACUCCUACGGGAAGCAGCAGUGGGGAAUAUUGCACAAUGGGCGGAAGCCUGAUGCAGCAACGCCGCGUGCGGGAUGACGGCCUUCGGGUUGUAAACCGCUUUCGCCUGUGACGAAGCGUGAGUGACGGUAAUGGGUAAAGAAGCACCGGCUAACUACGUG